Molecule: ribosomal RNA, 290 nt
Filed under: uncultured microorganism
Description: partial 16S ribosomal RNA
Rfam family: Bacterial small subunit ribosomal RNA
Source: RNAcentral
GUGCCAGCAGGCGCGGUAAUGCGUGAGUGGUCAGCAUUAUCCGGAAUUAUUGGGCGUAAAGCGCGCGUAGCGGUUUUUAAGUCUGAUGUGAAAGCCCACGGCUCAACCGUGGAGGGUCAUUGGAAACUGGAAAACUUGAGUGCAGAAGAGGAAAGUGGAAUUCCAUGUGUAGCGGUGAAAUGCGCAGAGAUAUGGAGGAACACCAGUGGCGAAGGCGACUUUCUGGUCUGUAACUGACGCUGAUGUGCGAAAGCGUGGGGAUCAAACAGGAUUAGAUACCCUGGUAGUCC